RNAcentral lists this RNase P RNA (422 nucleotides) under Spirochaetes bacterium DG_61. RNAcentral's name for it is "bacterial RNase P". It matches the Rfam family "Bacterial RNase P class A". Rfam says of the family: Ribonuclease P (RNase P) is a ubiquitous endoribonuclease, found in archaea, bacteria and eukarya as well as chloroplasts and mitochondria. Its best characterised activity is the generation of mature 5'-ends of tRNAs by cleaving the 5'-leader elements of precursor-tRNAs. Lineage: Bacteria; Pseudomonadati; Spirochaetota. The record is from RNAcentral.
CAGACCUGCAGAUCGGUUGCAGGAGGGGAAGCCCCCCUGAGGAAAGUCCGGGCUCCUAAAGGGCAUGGUGCUGGGUAAUACCCAGGAGGAUUAAUCCUGAGGAUGUAUCUCCUGAGGAGAAAUCUCCUAAGGAGUUCUCCUUUGGACCAGUCCUACGGAAAGUGCCACAGAAACAAGACCGCCCCGGUUCUCAUGUGUAUCCCGAGAGGGAUAUACCGGAGUAAGGGUGAAAGGGUGAGGUAAGAGCUCACCGCCUGAAAUGGUGACAUUUCAGUGGCUGGUAAACCCCGCCAGGAGCAAGGCCAAAUAGAUUGGCGUAAAGUGACCCGCUUCUGCCAUACGGGUGGGCCGCUCGACGGUGAUGAAACCGCGCGAGAUAGAUGACCGUUCAAACAGAACCCGGCUUACUGCAGGUCUGUAUA